This 83-nucleotide transfer RNA is filed under the name Bulbochaete rectangularis var. hiloensis. Its description in RNAcentral is "tRNA-Leu". It matches the Rfam family "tRNA". Rfam says of the family: Transfer RNA (tRNA) molecules are approximately 80 nucleotides in length. Their secondary structure includes four short double-helical elements and three loops (D, anti-codon, and T loops). The record is from RNAcentral. Lineage: Eukaryota; Viridiplantae; Chlorophyta; Chlorophyceae; Oedogoniales; Oedogoniaceae.
GCCUCUGUGGUGGAACCGGUAGACACGGCAGCUUCAAAAGUUGCUAUCAUCAGGGUAUGGGAGUUCAAGUCUCCCCGGAGGUA